CCUACGGGAGGCAGCAGUGAGGAAUAUUGGUCAAUGGGCGCUAGCCUGAACCAGCCAAGUCGCGUGAAGGAUGACUGCCCUAUGGGUUGUAAACUUCUUUUAUAUGGGAAUAAAGUGCAGUGUGUAUACUGCUUUGCAUGUACCUUAUGAAUAAGGAUCGGCUAAGUCCGUGCCAGCCGCCGCGGUACUAAGGAGGAUCCGAGCGUUAUCCGGAUUUAUUGGGUUUAAAGGGAGCGUAGGCGGGUUGUUAAGUCAGUUGUGAAAGUUUGUGGCUCAACCGGAAAAUUGCAGUUGAUACUGGCAUCCUUGAGUAUAGUAGAGGGAGGCGGAAUUCGUGGUGUAGCGGUGAAAUGCGUAGAGAUCACGAAGAACUCCGAUGGCGAAGGCAGCCUGCUGGACUGUAACUGACGCUGAUGCGCGAAAGUGUGGGGAUCAAACAGGAUUAGAUACCCCUGUAGUC
Molecule: ribosomal RNA, 460 nt
Filed under: uncultured bacterium
Lineage: Bacteria
Description: partial 16S ribosomal RNA
Rfam family: Bacterial small subunit ribosomal RNA
Source: RNAcentral